UGGGGAAUAUUGCACAAUGGGCGCAAGCCUGAUGCAGCCAUGCCGCGUGUGUGAAGAAGGCCUUCGGGUUGUAAAGCACUUUCAGCGAGGAGGAAGGUGGUGAGCUUAAUACGCUCAUCAAUUGACGUUACUCGCAGAAGAAGCACCGGCUAACUCCGUGCCAGCAGCCGCGGUAAUACGGAGGGUGCAAGCGUUAAUCGGAAUUACUGGGCGUAAAGCGCACGCAGGCGGUUUGUUAAGUCAGAUGUGAAAUCCCCGGGCUCAACCUGGGAACUGCAUUUGAAACUGGCAAGCUAGAGUCUCGUAGAGGGGGGUAGAAUUCCAGGUGUAGCGGUGAAAUGCGUAGAGAUCUGGAGGAAUACCGGUGGCGAAGGCGGCCCCCUGGACGAAGACUGACGCUCAGGUGCGAAAAGCGUGGGGAGCAAACA
This 428-nucleotide ribosomal RNA is filed under the name uncultured bacterium. RNAcentral describes it as "partial 16S ribosomal RNA". It matches the Rfam family "Bacterial small subunit ribosomal RNA", at positions 355 to 774 of the family's 1533-position model. The record is from RNAcentral.